GCAAGUCGAGGGGUAGCGGAAGCUUGCUUCCUUUAGACCGCCGCACGGGUGCGUAACGCGUAUGCAAUCUACCUUAUACAGGGGAAUAGCCCAGAGCAAUUUGGAUUAAUGCCCCAUAGUAUUAUUGAAUGUCAUCAUUUGAUAAUUAAAGUUCCAACGGUAUGAGAUGAGCAUGCGUCCCAUUAGUUAGUUGGUAAGGUAACGGCUUACCAAGACUAUGAUGGGUAGGGGUCCUGAGAGGGAGAUC
RNAcentral lists this ribosomal RNA (247 nucleotides) under uncultured bacterium. RNAcentral's name for it is "partial 16S ribosomal RNA". It matches the Rfam family "Bacterial small subunit ribosomal RNA", at positions 57 to 305 of the family's 1533-position model. The record is from RNAcentral.